RNAcentral lists this ribosomal RNA (23 nucleotides) under Symbiodinium sp. Sh5. RNAcentral describes it as "partial 24S ribosomal RNA". The record is from RNAcentral. Lineage: Eukaryota; Dinophyceae; Suessiales; Symbiodiniaceae.
UCUAGCAUGAAGUCAGACAAGUG